AUGCGACUAGCCAUGGAGACCUCCCCUUUGAUAAAGCUCAUCUCACUCACCCUCCUACUAGCCUCGGCCAUCGCUGGGCCAACUUUGGAGGAACAGGCAGGAGCACUUCUUGCCUGGAAAGCCACACUAGAAACCCAACCAGCCCAACUCCAACUGCAAUCCUGGGAAAACACCUCAUGGCCGUGUAGCUGGCAUGGCAUCAGCUGCAGCAGCAAGCAUCAACAACAACCGGUGAUCACCGGGAUCUCUCUGCGAGGAUUGGGGCUCAGAGGGGAGCUCCACACCCUCAACUUCUCGGCAUUGGCAACCCUGACGAGUAUCCAACUCGCGCAAAAUCAGAUAAGGGGCUCCUUACCACCUUCUUUAGCAUCAUCCUUGCCAAACCUGCGCCAUCUAAUGCUCCAGGCAAAUCAGCUCUCCGGUGAAAUACCAAGCCAUAUAAAACACCUAGAGGGUCUUGUGGCGUUGGAUUUGUCAAACAAUCACUUGUUUGGUCCCAUUCCCAGCGAACUAGGCUACCUAAGGAAGCUGCGUCAAUUAGAUUUUUCCAACAACAACCUCACAGGCCCUAUCCCAAGAAAUUUAGGGAAUUUAACCAAGCUCACUAACUUGUCCCUCGCUGAUAACCAAAUAUCUGGAUAUCUUCCUCCAGAACUAGGUUACCUCGUGAAUUUACGAUGGUUGGUUCUUAGUCAAAACAAACUCAUGGGUUCUAUCCCGGCUACCUUGGGGAGAUUGGUUAAUCUCGCUAUCUUGUACCUAUAUUAUAACCAACUUUCUGGACAUAUCCCUCAAGAACUAGGUUACCUCGUGAACUUAGAAGAGUUAGAUUUUACCGGCAACGACCUCACAGGCCCUAUCCCAAGAAAUUUAGGCAAUUUAACCAAACUCAAUAACUUGUUUCUUGGUGAUAACCAAUUGUCUGGAUAUCUUCCUCCAGAACUAGGUUACCUGGUGAAUUUAGGAGGGCUGCAUCUUUGGCAAAACAAACUUAUGGGUUCUAUCCCCGCUACCUUUGGGAGUUUGCUUAAUCUCACCAGCUUGUACCUAAGAUAUAACCAACUUUCUGGGCACAUUCCUCGAGAACUAGGUUCCCUCGUGAAGUUAUUUGAGUUAGAACUUCAACACAACAAACUCAUGGGUUUCGUUCCUGAUAUAUUUGGAAAUUUGACCAAGCUCAGUUACUUGUACCUGGGCAACAACCAACUUUCCGGACAUAUUCCUCGAGAACUUGGGUACCUAGUGAAUAUGAGAAAGUUAGAUCUUAGGAACAACAAACUCAUUGGUUCUAUCCCUGCUACCUUUGGGAGUUUGGUUAAUCUCACUAGCUUGGUCCUGUGGGACAACCAACUCUUUGGACGUAUUCCUCCAGAAUUAGGUUACCUCAUGAACUUAGAAGAGUUAGGACUUAGCAACAACAAACUCGUGGGUUCCCUCCCUGAUAUGUUUGGAAAUUUGACCAAGCUCGCUCUCUUGCACCUGGAUGGUAAUAAAUUUUCCGGACAUGUUCCUGGAGAAAUUGGUACCUUAAUGGAUCUCCAAUAUCUACAGUUGAAUGGUAACAAUUUCUCCGGUCCCUUGCCACCUGACUUGUGUGCUGGAGGCAAGCUCGAGAGAUUGACUGCAUUUGAUAAUAACCUGAAUGGACCUUUGCCGUCAAGUCUGGUACAUUGCUUAAGCCUAGUUAGAGUUCGUCUUGAAAGGAAUCAAAUAGAAGGAGAUAUCUCUGAGUUGGGAAUUCAUCCCAAUAUGGUGUAUAUGGAUAUGAGCUCGAAUAAACUAUAUGGGCAGUUAUCUAACCAUUGGAGGGAGUGA
This 1815-nucleotide ribosomal RNA is filed under the name Triticum aestivum (bread wheat). Its description in RNAcentral is "partial small subunit ribosomal RNA". The record is from RNAcentral. Lineage: Eukaryota; Viridiplantae; Streptophyta; Magnoliopsida; Poales; Poaceae.